GACGAACGCUGGCGGCGUGCUUAACACAUGCAAGUCGAACGGAAAGGCCCUGCUUUUGUGGGGUGCUCGAGUGGCGAACGGGUGAGUAACACGUGAGUAACCUGCCCUUGACUUUGGGAUAACUUCAGGAAACUGGGGCUAAUACCGGAUAGGAGCUCCUGCUGCAUGGUGGGGGUUGGAAAGUUUCGGCGGUUGGGGAUGGACUCGCGGCUUAUCAGCUUGUUGGUGGGGUAGUGGCUUACCAAGGCUUUGACGGGUAGCCGGCCUGAGAGGGUGACCGGCCACAUUGGGACUGAGAUACGGCCCAGACUCCUACGGGAGGCAGCAGUGGGGAAUAUUGCACAAUGGGCGGAAGCCUGAUGCAGCAACGCCGCGUGCGGGAUGACGGCCUUCGGGUUGUAAACCGCUUUCGCCUGUGACGAAGCGUGAGUGACGGUAAUGGGUAAAGAAGCACCGGCUAACUACGUGCCAGCAGCCGCGGUGAUACGUAGGGUGCGAGCGUUGUCCGGAUUUAUUGGGCGUAAAGGGCUCGUAGGUGGUUGAUCGCGUCGGAAGUGUAAUCUUGGGGCUUAACCCUGAGCGUGCUUUCGAUACGGGUUGACUUGAGGAAGGUAGGGGAGAAUGGAAUUCCUGGUGGAGCGGUGGAAUGCGCAGAUAUCAGGAGGAACACCAGUGGCGAAGGCGGUUCUCUGGGCCUUUCCUGACGCUGAGGAGCGAAAGCGUGGGGAGCGAACAGGCUUAGAUACCCUGGUAGUCCACGCUGUAAACGGUGGGUACUAGGUGUGGGGUCCAUUCCACGGGUUCCGUGCCGUAGCUAACGCUUUAAGUACCCCGCCUGGGGAGUACGGCCGCAAGGCUAAAACUCAAAGGAAUUGACGGGGCCCCGCACAAGCGGCGGAGCAUGCGGAUUAAUUCGAUGCAACGCGUAGAACCUUACCUGGGUUUGACAUGGAUCGGGAGUGCUCAGAGAUGGGUGUGCCUCUUUUGGGGUCGGUUCACAGGUGGUGCAUGGCUGUCGUCAGCUCGUGUCGUGAGAUGUUGGGUUAAGUCCCGCAACGAGCGCAACCCUUGUUCACUGUUGCCAGCACGUUAUGGUGGGGACUCAGUGGAGACCGCCGGGGUCAACUCGGAGGAAGGUGGGGAUGACGUCAAGUCAUCAUGCCCCUUAUGUCCAGGGCCUCACGCAUGCUACAAUGGCUGGUACAGAGAGUGGCGAGCCUGUGAGGGUGAGCGAGUCUCGGAAAGCCGGUCUCAGUUCGGAUUGGGGUCUGCAACUCGACCUCAUGAAGUCGGAGUCGCUAGUAAUCGCAGAUCAGCAACGCUGCGGUGAAUACGUUCCCGGG
This 1343-nucleotide ribosomal RNA is filed under the name uncultured bacterium. Its description in RNAcentral is "16S ribosomal RNA". It matches the Rfam family "Bacterial small subunit ribosomal RNA", at positions 28 to 1378 of the family's 1533-position model. The record is from RNAcentral.